AUGAAUGCAUCACCUUUCAAAACCCUAGUGUGGAAUGUGAGGGGCCUUAAUAUCCCGGCGCUUCGAAGUGCAAUUUAUCAGGUGGUUAGCUCGGUUGCGCCGAGCAUUGUGUGUCUCCAAGAGACAAAAAUGGAACUUGUAACGACAGAAGUGGUCGCCCACUGCCUUGGGAAUAAACUCGAGAGCUUCUACUACUUGCCCGCGAUAGGAACGAGGGGCGGCAUUCUCCUUGCUUGGGAUGCUACCGUGGUGAAACUUUCCAACCCGCAUUGGUGGCUCACAAUGGUGGAUGACAGGAGUAUACGGCCCACAACAAGAUCAAGACAAAGUGGAAUUCAUGCAAGAAUUGGUGGACAUUCGCGAGCUGAUAGCCGGACCAUGGACUGUGAUGGGGGAUUUCAACCUAUUGGUUAA
Molecule: ribosomal RNA, 414 nt
Filed under: Triticum aestivum (bread wheat)
Lineage: Eukaryota; Viridiplantae; Streptophyta; Magnoliopsida; Poales; Poaceae
Description: partial small subunit ribosomal RNA
Source: RNAcentral